UAAUAACUGAACGUGCAGACGGUACAUCAUAAUGCAGUGUAUACGUUCGGUGAAUGGCGGGUAGAUAUGGUGCAAAAGCAAUAAUUGAGAAGUAGUAGACAAUUAUUAGUGAGGGUAAAAGCAGGUCAAAGAAACGUGUCCCUAGCUGGAUUUGAACCUGAGACCCCAUAUUCCCAAGACUGUAACCUUACCCAGUAGGCCACAGGCAGAUUAGCUGUUUGAAGUGGAAAUGUUUCAGAAUAAGAAGGUCUGCCAAUUUUGGUCAGAACCCACUUGUGUAUCUGAUCUGGUGUGUUCAGGUGUCCUGAGACAGGGGGAGCUAUUUCUAAAAUGAGUUCCUCAGAGGAGACCGAGACUGAUGAUGGAACCCACGGCCCUGUGAGAAAGAGGGUCCAGGUAAAGAAGGCAGAGUCACCUGUACCCAGCUGUUUGUCUGUGAAGAGUGACC
Molecule: long non-coding RNA, 448 nt
Organism: Anguilla anguilla (European eel)
Lineage: Eukaryota; Metazoa; Chordata; Actinopteri; Anguilliformes; Anguillidae
Exons: 3
Source: RefSeq, a predicted model, not a curated record